RNAcentral lists this microRNA (20 nucleotides) under Medicago truncatula (barrel medic). RNAcentral describes it as "mtr-miR2605". The record is from miRBase by way of RNAcentral. Lineage: Eukaryota; Viridiplantae; Streptophyta; Magnoliopsida; Fabales; Fabaceae.
ACUUAGUUUAUAUGACCUAC